This 575-nucleotide ribosomal RNA is filed under the name uncultured Thelephorales. Its description in RNAcentral is "eukaryotic LSU rRNA". The record is from RNAcentral. Lineage: Eukaryota; Fungi; Basidiomycota; Agaricomycetes; Thelephorales.
UCAUUACCGAACUGUCGACACGAGUUGUUGCUGGUCCUCGAAAGGGGUCAAGUGCACGCUCUGUUUACACAUCCACUCACACCUGUGCACCCUCUGUAGUUCUAUGGCCUGGGGGCUCUGUCCUCUUGCUGUGGUCCUACGUCUUUACACACACACACCGUAAUAGAGUCUCAUGGAAUGUAUCUCGCGUUUAACGCAGUAUAAUACAACUUUCAGCAACGGAUCUCUUGGCUCUCGCAUCGAUGAAGAACGCAGCGAAAUGCGAUAAGUAAUGUGAAUUGCAGAAUUCAGUGAAUCAUCGAAUCUUUGAACGCACCUUGCGCCCUUUGGCUAUUCCGAAGGGCAUGCCUGUUUGAGUAUCAUGAACACCUCAACUCUCAUGGUCCACCAUGAUGAGCUUGGACUUUGGGGGUCUUGCUGGCCUAUCACCGGCUCCUCUCAAACGAAUCAGCUUGCCAGUGUUUGGUGGCAUCACAGGUGUGAUAACUAUCUACGCUUGUGUUUUCCCACCAGGUAACCUCCAGCAAUGGGGGUUCGCUGAAGCUCACAAUUGUCUCUCCUCWGUGGAGACAGCU